Molecule: ribosomal RNA, 253 nt
Filed under: uncultured bacterium
Lineage: Bacteria
Description: partial 16S ribosomal RNA
Rfam family: Bacterial small subunit ribosomal RNA
Source: RNAcentral
UACGUAGGGGGCAAGCGUUGUCCGGAAUCAUUGGGCGUAAAGAGCGUGUAGGCGGCUUGGUAAGUCCGCUGUGAAAGUCCAGGGCUCAACCCUGGAAAGCCGGUGGAAACUGUCAAGCUUGAGUCCGGAAGAGGCGAGUGGAAUUCCUGGUGUAGCGGUGAAAUGCGCAGAUAUCAGGAGGAACGCCAAUGGCGAAGGCAGCUCGCUGGGACGGUACUGACGCUGAGACGCGAAAGCGUGGGGAGCAAACAGG